RNAcentral lists this ribosomal RNA (229 nucleotides) under uncultured bacterium. RNAcentral's name for it is "partial 16S ribosomal RNA". It matches the Rfam family "Bacterial small subunit ribosomal RNA", at positions 568 to 796 of the family's 1533-position model. The record is from RNAcentral.
UACGCAGGUGGGCUUGUAAGUCAGUGGUGAAAUACUGCCGCUUAACGGUAGAACUGCCAUUGAUACUGCAAGUCUUGAAUAUGGUUGAGGUAGGCGGAAUGUGUCGUGUAGCGGUGAAAUGCAUAGAUAUGACACAGAACGCCGAUUGCGAAGGCAGCUUACUAAGCCAUUAUUGACGCUGAGGCACGAAAGCGUGGGGAGCGAACAGGAUUAGAUACCCUGGUAGUCC